UUGUAUUCGAUCAUAUAUUUAGACUAUAAUUAUUACUACAUAACUUUUUAUUUUUUAUUCUAGUUUAUUUUAUAUGAUAUAGAAUAUCCAAGCACCUAUGUGUAAAUUUAGAUCCAUAUCCCCAUAUUUUCUAUUUAGAAAGUUGACAAGUCAGACAUAGGGAAUGCACCCAUUUCUCACACCCAUAUUCAAGUCCAAGUAACAUAGAUCACCUAAGGGUACAAAGACAUCCAUGAAGAUCCAUCUUCUGAUUUAGGACCUUCUGAGGGAUGUGACUGUGUUUUCAUGCUUUGUGGAUCACUUGCCACAUAAACUGGCAAGAACUUUCCCCUAGUGUGGAUGGAGGUUCUUAUCUCAUUUGGGAAGUACAACUCUUAUCGCUUGCAUCACUUGAGGAGGUUUUAGUGGACAAGCAGCAUGCUAUUUGUCUCAUGAUUCACAGAUUUACUGUAAAUUAUUCCUCUUCCCUUAGGUAAGUCUUAAGCUAUUUAUGCAAGUGAGUGUUAUGUUGAUCAACAUCAGCCCAAAAGAACCUUUAAUGGUUUUGCUAUUUGGUGCGGCCAAUAUGUCAAGUGAAAUUAGAUAUUUGAGUAUUAAGAUUUAAAACAGCCCAUGGGUGUAGUUGAAUUUAGCGUUGAGUAUCUCAACAACAUGUUAGAAAAGAACCCUUGUUGUUGGGUUGCUGGAGGUAAAAAGUCAGUCAGUCCUUUAGUUUUCUGUUUUUAGGCUGUUGAGAAGAAACUGGAUUACUUUUGGAGUCUUGAGGAAUAAAUUUUGAAGCCUUUGAAGAAUAUUGAUUUGUAUAAUUGCGUCAAUGGGCUGAACAUUGAUACAUCUCAUUCACAAUUGGGUCAAAUUCAAAUUUGAUGGUUUCGGUUGAUAAUGGAAAUUCCUAUGGAUUGUGUUAUUGGAGAUUCCAUAUACCAUAAAUCUAAAUUAGUUUGAUGCGAGUUCAACAUCCCUUUUCUCAAACUUGUCUCAUAAGUAAGCAGUUCCACUAUUUCUUCUAGUAGAAGAUUGGUUACUUGUGGCUUAUUGGUUAGUAGGGGCUUCUUGGAGAAUAGCUAAUGUAAUAUCAGAUCGUAAAAAAUUUGUGAACUAUAUGAAUCUAUACUAAUGGUUCUCAUGCCUUUUAGAUAGGGUACUUGUGUGAUUAGUCAUUUGGCUAGAUCUUACUAUAUCUAGAUGAUUUUAUGAAUUGUGCAUAUUUAAUAUGUUGAUGAAAAUUAAUACUGGGAGAAAGAAAUAGAGGAAAACUGUUACGGUCCCUUAAUACGGAUCUAGUUAUGGGUCUAUGUGUUGGGGUAUUUGGUUGGAUGGGUGAAGGUUGUGAAGGAUUUAAGGAUGUUUUCUUUUGGUGACCUGUGUUGGAGAUAAUAUUCAGAUUCGUUAGAGAGAACCUGGACCUCUUGAGUUUAGAGUACUCAAAAGACUUUUUUUGGAAAUUUUUCUUAUCUCUCUUUUUUUGAAUUGUUGCACUUAAAUACAAGAGUAAGACAUAAUCAUCUCCUACAAACAAAAAACUAUUAAGCAACAUGGAGGAACACCCUCUUACCACUAAAGAAAAACAAAAACUAAUUUGCACUAUCUACAUCAUGGGUUGACCACUAAGAACAUGACUAAACCACUAAUUACAUGACUCUUGAAAAAUAGGACAACUAACUUGCAAAAACUAACUAGCAUUAUUUGCUUACAUUACUCCCUCUUCCACUAUGUGGUUGUCCUCAAGUGCAAACUCGGGAAAUUUCUAAAAACUAUUCAGCCAGUAGUUAGUCCGUUGCAACAUCUCCUGGAUUGUCAUCUGCUAAAUCCAGCCAGAAUAAUUUCUUGCACUGAUGUCCUCGAACAAAGGGUUCAUCACAGUUAAAAUAAAGUCCUUUUCUAUCGUCAUUCCUCCAUCUUCUCGUGGUUCAAGUGCUUAAUGAUUCGCGUACCUUUUGCUUCCAUUGUUUGUUGAGAUGAAUGAUUAGUUGAAGGACUUGCAGUAGAUAUGGACCAAUUUUUCCGUUCAUAGAGUCGAGACAUGCUUAUAGCUGAAACCAAGUCUUGGGCUGGUGAAGCUCAACUUCCACUGCAAUGUCUGUAAGGAAACCCAGAGAUUACUGCAACCCAAAAAACUAUGCAGCGGAAAAUAAAAAUCUCUGUUUCCCAUUUCAGGAUCCGAGUGCUUCGUUUAAUUCGAAAGGAAGGAUAAGAGAUUAAUCUUUUAGACUUGAAAAAAGAGACAGUUCCGGACUGAACGGUGCUGCUUUUGAAACAAACACCCUCAAUGGUAUCCACACGAACGUUUCCGUCUGGAGUGCUAGCUCUCUCAACGGAUGGAUACGCUAUGUCCUCUCCAAUCUGCAGCCCAGAAAAACGAUCACACAAAAAAACCUUACUCCCACGAUUCAAAAAAGGUCUUUUAUUUGUUUUUCAGUUUUUUGUGUUCAUCACCAACUAUCACAAUCUCGCAGAUACUCAAAUAUCUAUGUGAUAAGUCCUUUUUGGAAAAGAAAACAGAAAAAUCCUUUAUCUGUAACAGUUACAGAUAGAAUGCAGAUCUUUUAAAUAUUAUUAUCUUAUAAUAAUAAAUAAUUAAUAUUAAUAAUAUUAACAUCUUUAUUAUUAUUAAUUAUACUAAUGGGCUUUUAGCCCAUUAAUAUGACAUAGCAUAUCAACGACGUUCUUUUAUGUGUGACCCAAUAGGCUCACAUUAAUUGGCAAUAGGCUAUUAAUUGGCAAUAGGCUCACAUUAAUUGGCAAUAGGCUCAGUCCUACAAGGCCCAUAAAUCAUAAACGGUCUCUAGCAAGACAUUAUGACUAUCCAAUUAAUAUGAGGAUCCAUAGUCCGAUAAAGCCUAAUAAACACAUGUAUUAAUCCCUUUGUCACACGAUAUCUGGUUUGAACAUAAGUCAUGGUCAAUGGCAAACUUAUAAUGUUCAAACUUAUGAUUUCUCGAUCUCUAAGUAGACUGAUAAAACCAAAUGAUAUUGAUCACACUAUCAAUUCAUUCGAGCACGGCCGUGCAUUUCUCAGUCUGACUUAUCGAGGGGUCUAGAAGAUAUCUCUCUCAAAGAGAGGGACAAAUUCUAUCUUGAUUGUUUAAUUUCCUCUACAUAAUUUCUAUUAUGCUCAAUCAUAACCUUUAUGAUUAUCCGAUUAAAGACAAUAUUUGGUUAUGUCAAAACAUAACAGUUUUUAUGUUGGAAACUAUGACAAUCUCAAGUCAAAGGAUUCAAACAUAACUAUUUUGAGAUUCACUUAUGACAAUAACCCAUGUAGUGAUCUCAAUGUGGGUCCAUGCAAUACUUUAUUUUCUAACAAGUAUCUAUGAUUAUUGAAUUAUAUCAACAUACACAUAAUCAUCUCAUGAUUAUCAAUCAAUAAUCAUACUAGUCAUAUUUUAUUAUUAUCACCAUAAUAAUAAUUAACAUCCCUAGUUAUUUAUGUGAUUAGUCACCAUAAUAAGUAACCAGGGAUGUUAAUUAUUAUUAUGUAACAUGCAAACAAAUAAUAAUGAUAGUAAAAUCUCUUUUAUUAAUAACCAAAAUGACAUACAAAAAGAUCCAAAAUAAUGGCCUAGGACAAAUACACUAACAAUGUAUUCCUGCAACCCACUGAUAUACAACUGUAUUUUCUGGUCUUGGUUGAGGAGGCCGGCUCAUGAGACAAGUUUUUCAAAUUGGGUUUAAUACUCAUCAAUAGUACCCAUUUGUUUCAACUUUGCUAAUUCGCCCAAUUUAUUGCUCCGGUUUGGGGGCCAAAACACAAGUUGCAUUGGUGAGAGAAUUCCUCCCAAGUCAGAUUAGGAACAUCAUGUAACAACUGCAUAUACCACAAUUGAGCAAUUCCCUCUAAGUGAUAGGAGGCUAAGCUCAUCUUUUCUUCCUCGGGUGUUGAUUGAUGGCGGAAAAAAUGUUGACAACGGCUAAGCCAACCCAAAGGGUCUUCUAGCCCAUUAAAGUGAGGGAAGUUAAGUUUUGUGAAUUUUGGCACAAUCGAGUUUCCUCCAGAAUUUUCAGAAACUGUCGCACUAGAAAUUUCCUUAUCUUUUUGUGUUUUCGUUUGACUUUCAACACUUGAAGAAGACAACCCCUUCUUUGUCGAUUCUCAGUCGAGAGACGUGGCGUCCAAUUUGGCAUGAAGUUGUUCAACUUUCUCAUUUCUAGACUAGUUGGCUUACUGCUCGGCUAAGAGUAAGUUGAAGAAUUUGUUAAGUUGUUCUUAAACUAAUUCGCCCAUAACUAUUGGCUCUGAUACCAAUUUGUUAUGUCCCCUAAUACGGAUCUAGUUAUGGGUCUAUGUAUUGGGGUAUUUGGUUGGAUGGGUGAAGGUUAUGAAGGAUUGAGGGUGUUUUCUUUCGGCGAUCUAUGUUGGAGAUAAUAUUCAGAUUCGUUAGAGAGAACUUGGACCUUUUGAGUUUGGAGUACUCAAAGACCUUUUUUUGAAAAUUUUUUCUCAUCCCUCUUUUAUUGAAUUGUUGCACUUAAAUACUAAAGUGAGACAUAAUCAUCUCCUAAAUACAGGAAACCAUUAAGCAACAUGGAGGAUUACCGUCCUACCACUAAGGAAAAAUAAAAAUUAAUUUGCACUACCUACAUCAUGAGUUGACCACUAAGAACAUGGCUAAACCACUAAUUAUAUGACUCUUGAAAUUAAGACAACUAACUUGUAAAAAUUAACUUGAAUUAUUUGCUAACAAAAACAUUGUUGGCUUUUGGUGUAUGGUGUUUACUUUAACUUGCAGUUGGCAAAAUAUUGACGUUGCUUCAGACCUCAUGCUUCAUCUCAUAUAAUUUUGUUUCUUUUUUAUUUUCAUUAAUUGUAUUUAUUGUUUUUGUAGGUCUAUCAUGAUUCACUUCUUGUUUUUCACUUUGAUAAUACCCAAAAGUGCAUUUUUUUAUUUAUUUCAUGAUUACUUCAACUGAAUGUAAAUGCUCAUAUAGUGUG
Molecule: long non-coding RNA, 4933 nt
Filed under: Manihot esculenta (cassava)
Lineage: Eukaryota; Viridiplantae; Streptophyta; Magnoliopsida; Malpighiales; Euphorbiaceae
Description: long non-coding RNA (MESC_LNC002909)
Source: RNAcentral